UACGUAGGGUGCAAGCGUUAAUCGGAAUUACUGGGCGUAAAGCGUGCGCAGGCGGUUUUGUAAGUCAGAUGUGAAAUCCCCGGGCUUAACCUGGGAACUGCGUUUGAAACUGGGUGUCUAGAGUGCAGGAGAGGUAAGUGGAAUUCCGGGUGUAGCGGUGGAAUGCGUAGAGAUCCGGAAGAACACCGGUGGCGAAGGCGGCUCCUGGUCCAGCACCGACGUCAGGCACGAAAGCGUGGGAAGCAAACAGG
RNAcentral lists this ribosomal RNA (251 nucleotides) under uncultured bacterium. Its description in RNAcentral is "partial 16S ribosomal RNA". It matches the Rfam family "Bacterial small subunit ribosomal RNA", at positions 524 to 776 of the family's 1533-position model. The record is from RNAcentral.